GAUGAACGCUGGCGGCGUGCCUAAUACAUGCAAGUCGAGCGAACAGAUGAGGAGCUUGCUCCUCUGACGUUAGCGGCGGACGGGUGAGUAACACGUGGAUAACCUACCUAUAAGACUGGGAUAACUUCGGGAAACCGGAGCUAAUACCGGAUAAUAUAUUGAACCGCAUGGUUCAAUAGUGAAAGACGGUUUUGCUGUCACUUAUAGAUGGAUCCGCGCCGCAUUAGCUAGUUGGUAAGGUAACGGCUUACCAAGGCGACGAUGCGUAGCCGACCUGAGAGGGGGAUCGGCCACACUGGAACUGAGACACGGUCCAGACUCCUACGGGAGGCAGCAGUAGGGAAUCUUCCGCAAUGGGCGAAAGCCUGACGGAGCAACGCCGCGUGAGUGAUGAAGGUCUUCGGAUCGUAAAGCUCUGUUAUUAGGGAAGAACAAAUGUGUAAGUAACUAUGCACGUCUUGACGGUACCUAAUCAGAAAGCCACGGCUAACUACGUG
Molecule: ribosomal RNA, 497 nt
Filed under: uncultured bacterium
Lineage: Bacteria
Description: partial 16S ribosomal RNA
Rfam family: Bacterial small subunit ribosomal RNA
Source: RNAcentral